AAAAUGUCUCGAAGUAUGUUAUCACCGCAGAUAUGAAUCAGCAAGAUUUCAGUGAACAGAAGGUGUUAGAACAAGUCCAUCUAGAAAAUGCACAUCUAGAUGAUCAACUCCAUUGUUAUUCUGAUAAGCUCUUGUCAAGACAUGCACAGUGUCUCAUACCUUUAACUACAAAGGAUACGUUGAACAAUCUUAGAUGUGAUACUAAGCAAGGAUGGCCUGCUGAAGGGCCAGCUAAACAACAAAGAGAAACGGACAUGAAUUUUCUCAAGUCUGAAGUGUCUUUUCCCUCUGAUACUAAAAGUGAGGGUUUUAUAGUUGAUGAUAGAACCAGUGGACAAUUGCAGAUUGGUGCUAUCAGAGUAGAAACUGUUUCUGAUAAUCAACCAGGAAUGCUUGGAAAUCAAAUACAUGAAUCAUUCUUGUCCUCAGCGGUGAACUCUUGCCAAUUACAACCUGAAAAUUUCUUAGUCUGUGAUGAUAAACAGAGUGUGAAGUUGGUU
This 500-nucleotide unclassified non-coding RNA is filed under the name Hevea brasiliensis (rubber tree). The record is from RNAcentral. Lineage: Eukaryota; Viridiplantae; Streptophyta; Magnoliopsida; Malpighiales; Euphorbiaceae.